This 587-nucleotide ribosomal RNA is filed under the name uncultured beta proteobacterium. RNAcentral describes it as "bacterial SSU rRNA". It matches the Rfam family "Bacterial small subunit ribosomal RNA", at positions 338 to 916 of the family's 1533-position model. The record is from RNAcentral. Lineage: Bacteria; Pseudomonadati; Pseudomonadota; Betaproteobacteria.
CCUACGGGAGGCAGCAGUGGGGAAUUUUGGACAAUGGGGGCAACCCUGAUCCAGCCAUGCCGCGUGAGUGAAGAAGGCCUUCGGGUUGUAAAGCUCUUUCGGCCGGGAAGAAAUCGCACAGGCUAAUACCCUGUGUGGAUGACGGUACCGGCAUAAGAAGCACCGGCUAACUACGUGCCAGCAGCCGCGGUAAUACGUAGGGUGCGAGCGUUAAUCGGAAUUACUGGGCGUAAAGCGUGCGCAGGCGGUUAGAUAAGUUUGAUGUGAAAUCCCCGGGCUCAACCUGGGAACUGCAUUGAAGACUGUCUGACUAGAGUACGGCAGAGGGGGGUGGAAUUCCACGUGUAGCAGUGAAAUGCGUAGAGAUGUGGAGGAACACCGAUGGCGAAGGCAGCCCCCUGGGCCGAUACUGACGCUCAUGCACGAAAGCGUGGGGAGCAAACAGGAUUAGAUACCCUGGUAGUCCACGCCCUAAACGAUGUCAACUAGUUGUUGGUAGGGUUAAACCUAUUAGUAACGUAGCUAACGCGUGAAGUUGACCGCCUGGGGAGUACGGUCGCAAGAUUAAAACUCAAAGGAAUUGACGG